This 493-nucleotide ribosomal RNA is filed under the name uncultured bacterium. RNAcentral describes it as "partial 16S ribosomal RNA". It matches the Rfam family "Bacterial small subunit ribosomal RNA", at positions 30 to 523 of the family's 1533-position model. The record is from RNAcentral.
AUUGAACGCUGGCGGCAUGCUUUACACAUGCAAGUCGAACGGUAACGGGUUAAGCUGACGAGUGGCGAACGGGUGAGUAAUAUAUCGGAACGUGCCCAGUCGUGGGGGAUAACGUAGCGAAAGCUACGCUAAUACCGCAUACGAUCUAUGGAUGAAAGCGGGGGAUCGCAAGACCUCGCGCGAUUGGAGCGGCCGAUAUCAGAUUAGGUAGUUGAUGAGGUAAAGGCUCACCAAGCCGACGAUCUGUAGCUGGUCUGAGAGGACGACCAGCCACACUGGGACUGAGACACGGCCCAGACUCCUACGGGAGGCAGCAGUGGGGAAUUUUGGACAAUGGGCGCAAGCCUGAUCCAGCAAUGCCGCGUGCAGGAUGAAGGCCUUCGGGUUGUAAACUGCUUUUGUACGGAACGAAACGGCUCUCACUAAUACUGGGGGCUAAUGACGGUACCGUAAGAAUAAGCACCGGCUAACUACGUGCCAGCCGCCGCGGUAA